Molecule: long non-coding RNA, 1565 nt
Organism: Beta vulgaris subsp. vulgaris (sugar beet)
Lineage: Eukaryota; Viridiplantae; Streptophyta; Magnoliopsida; Caryophyllales; Amaranthaceae
Exons: 2
Source: RefSeq, a predicted model, not a curated record
UCCAUUGUUAUUCGAGUUUUAUGUUUUAGGAAAAAUUAUUUUAGCUGUGAAAUAAAGUAGGUUUUGUUACUUUGUACUACUAAAUUGAUACCUUGCAUGAUAUGAGUUUGUUCCACCUCCUGCAUUAACAUUUCGGAUCAUAGUCGGGCUUCAUAAGGUAUGUUCUUCAAUCCAUUUUUUUGCUAUGUGAAGUUUGAGAGAAAUAUUUUCUAUGAACUGUAUGAACAAGUUUAAUUAGAUUUUGUGAUUCAGCUUGUGAUAGAUGCUUUUCCGAGGCAGCAAACCUCUGAUUUGAUUCAAGUUGUCUGAUGUGUUGUGCCUUUGUGCCCAUCUCGAAAAUUAAUUAUAUUGUCAUGUAUAUUGAAAAUUACUUAUGAUGAGUGAUGACAUUUAAGGCCUGAUAUGAAAGUUCUGGUUUUGCUUGUUGAUGUAAACUUGGUAUGUUUAGAACCAAAUUGAAAACAUUGUAGAGGUUCUACUGGUGUGAGAUGAAGUAAGGCUGGUGUUGGUCGGUUGCACCUGUGGUGGGGGGUGAAUUUACAGUGGUUCUAAUGGCGGGGCUAGAGUAUGGUGAUUGCUUUAAGAUUGAGGUGUGAAAAUCUUAAGAUGGGAAGUUCAAGUACAGGGAACUAAGGGAAAUCAUGAAGAUAUUGUUUGGGUUAAAACCUAGAGAGGACAGAGAACUAGGGAAAUGGAGUGAACAAAAAAGUAGGACAAACACUCACAGAGGUAAUUAAGGAACUAAUAAGUGAUUUUUCAGAAGCUAUGUUUGACAGCAAUACUUACAACUCAGAAUGCAACAUAAGUCCAGCUAACAUCACAAAGGAUGAGGACUACACUAAUUGCGAGAGGCAAUAACAUAACAUACUAAGAGAUUUGAUGAAGUAUCAGAUAUUAAUGAGAAAUAAUCACAAAGAUGCUGCGAUCUACUAAUAAAAAAGUCUGGUUAAAUUGCUUGAUUGGGAACAAAUAAAAUCAUUUAACAACACAUUGAUCAUACUUAAACCACACAUUAUCCUAAAAUUAUUUGUACUACUAAAUGUGUCUCCAUGUACCACCAUCAUUUUUAGUGUUUUCAAGUGUUUCUCUUAUAUUUUUAUAGUAGUACAUGGCAACCAUCAUUAUAUGCCUUUGAGAAAGAGUUGCAAGUGUGGCCAACAUGACAUUUUUAGUGCUGUCAGGUGCAUGAAACGAUUCUCCUCAGUGCCAACAACAAGCAUGAGAUAAUAAACAAGAAAUGUAUCAUGAGAUAAUAUUCAAGAGGCAGAUUCAUACUAGUACAAGCUACAAAAUUAUGGUGAAUAAUGAACCAUCUGGAGGAGAUCAAACGUAGACGUCUCACUAUACAUACUAUCGGCCAGAUUUAGCUAGCCAUGCGGUACUCGGUGCUUAGAAGGAAGAUGAUCUAUAUGUACUUAUUAGAAGUAUUUGUGGUACUAAAACAAAUAUAUAUUAGUUGGGUUUGAUUAAGUACAUUAAUUUUCGUUAAUUAGGAUUUGUCAUGUAUACUCUUAAUUUAAUUAGUUUUGGAAAUUAUAAUACAGAUAUGACAAUUAUUUUUGGCA